RNAcentral lists this long non-coding RNA (1062 nucleotides) under Capra hircus (goat). RNAcentral's name for it is "lncRNA (ENSCHIG00010017787.1)". The record is from RNAcentral. Lineage: Eukaryota; Metazoa; Chordata; Mammalia; Artiodactyla; Bovidae.
GGUCAAGACUGCCCCAGUGAGGGGGUGCAGUCGCAGCCCAGGUGGUCUCGGUGGGCCCCAGAGGUUUUGAGACUGGAGGGAUGAGUGAGGUCAGAAGAUCCUGGACCGUCAUCCUGUGUUGGGUGAAGCCCUCCGUGGGUGCCUCUUUGGGGGCGGAUAGUGUUGGUCCUCCCUGACCCAGACGUGUGAGCGUGCAAUGUGGCCAAGCCUGGGCUUCAGGAGGGGGGAGCACUGACCAGGUGCAGGGGUGGCCCUUCCCCAGACGGGCCGCCCUUCAGAGGGUCAGAGCCUUUCUGAGGAGACUCCUUCCAGGAGCAGCAAGGCCACGCUCUGAUGCAGCUCCAGCCCUCCUGGGGCUCGGCCUGGAGGAGGGGGCCGUGAAACCAAGCCGGGCCGGGAGGGUCGCCGCUCUCGGGUCAGUGGCCCUGGCCGUGGUGAGGAGGGGAGCGCCGCGCCUGCAGAGACUCCUAGCUGACAGCCGGCACGGUGGAGGUGUUCCCUACAGGUCUCUGCUCUGGUUUCUGCAGCGUCCGAGCCCGCUCUUCCUCUCCCGAGUCCGGGCCCGAGCCCGCUCUUCCUCUCCCGAGUCCGGGCCCGAGCCCGCUCUUCCUUUCCCUGAGUCUGGGAUCACCCCUCUGGCCUUUGACCUGCUCAGCACUGCAGCUGGACCGCUGGCCAUCAGAAACCUGACUUAGCCCCGGCAGUGGGGCGUCCUCCGUGUUUUCUGUCUGUUUUCUCAGUCCCUUCAACCUGGAUUCCCCUGCCUCACCAUGUUUGUUUCCCCCAAACCCAAAUUUGGGAACAUAGCCUGACAGGGAUUUCCCCACAUAUUUUUUUAGAAACUGCGAUACAGUUGAUUUACAGUAUCGUAUGCUUCAGGUGUACAGCGCAGCGAGGUGCGGUUCUUGUUAAAUGCUGUGCUCCAUCUGAGUUAGGUACUGUCGGCUCUGUUCCCUGUGCUAUACAACGUGUCGCUGACAUAUCUUACACUUAGCAGUUUGCGUCUCUUAGUUUGUGUCAUCUUGCCCCCACCCCCUUCCCUCUCUUCACCCCCGUCGUUUA